Molecule: long non-coding RNA, 498 nt
Filed under: Ananas comosus (pineapple)
Lineage: Eukaryota; Viridiplantae; Streptophyta; Magnoliopsida; Poales; Bromeliaceae
Description: long non-coding RNA (ACOM_LNC043179)
Source: RNAcentral
UUUGUAUACAAAAAUCAUGAAAAUCAUGAUCAAAAGGGAAUUAGUAAGCAACUAACCUUAAGAGAAACUCCAAACCACCCUAGAAAUCAGCUAGGGUUGAGCUCCUACCCUCCAACAAGCUCCAAACACCAAGCCCAAGCUUCUCCCAUGGAGGAAAAGCCACCAAAAUGCAAAAAGAGAGCAAAAGGAGAGUUUAAUCUUCAAAAAUCCAACAUAAAUCAAAGGAAAACAAAGAGGGAGAAAAGAGAGCUCCCUUACCUUGCUCUCCCUGCUACCAAGCUCAGGGAACACCAAGGGGGGCGUGGGGUAUGUUAAAGAGUUGUUUCAAUAGCAAAAACACCCCUGCAGUUCGAACUGCACGAAAUCAGCCUCCUUGUACCGGUACACGGGCCCUUGUACUAGUACAAGGCCCACGAAAGUCACAACCCGAGGCUCGGAUUGGCGGGUUCAGCGGCUCUGUACCGGUACAAGCUCCCUGUACCGGUACAACCAUCAACC